UACGGAGGAUCCGAGCGUUAUCCGGAUUUAUUGGGUUUAAAGGGUGCGUAGGUGGAUUGGUAAGUCAGUGGUGAAAGUUUGCAGCUUAACUGUAAAAUUGCCGUUGAAACUGCCGGUCUUGAGUGCAAAUGAGGUAGGCGGAAUGCGUCGUGUAGCGGUGAAAUGCUUAGAUAUGACGCAGAACACCGAUUGCGAAGGCAGCUUUCUAAGCUGGAUCUGACGCUGAGGCACGAAAGCGUGGGUAGCGAACAGGAUUAGAUA
RNAcentral lists this ribosomal RNA (261 nucleotides) under uncultured prokaryote. RNAcentral describes it as "partial 16S ribosomal RNA". It matches the Rfam family "Bacterial small subunit ribosomal RNA", at positions 524 to 784 of the family's 1533-position model. The record is from RNAcentral.